Molecule: ribosomal RNA, 510 nt
Filed under: uncultured bacterium
Lineage: Bacteria
Description: partial 16S ribosomal RNA
Rfam family: Bacterial small subunit ribosomal RNA
Source: RNAcentral
GACGAACGCUGGCGGCGUGCUUAACACAUGCAAGUCGAACGAAGACCGCUGGACGCUUGCUUCUAUCAAUCUUAGUGCCGAACGGGUGGGUAACGCGUAAUCAACCUGCCCUUCAGAGGGGGACUACAGUUGGAAACUAUUUCUAAUACCGCAUACGAUCUAAUCUGGGCAUCCCGGCUAGAUGUAAGCUAGCCUCUACAUUUAAGCCCUCACUGGACGAGGGUCCUUCGCCUGACUAGCUGGUUGGUGGGGUACCCGCGCACCAAGGCGAUGAACAGUAGCCGGCCAGAGAGGCUGAGCGGCCACGUUGGGACGGAGACACGGCCCAGACUACUGCGGGAGGGAGCAGUGCGGGAUCUUUCGCGAUGGAAGAAAGGCUGACGGAGCAACGCCGCGUGAGUGAUGACGGCCGUCGGGUUGUAAGGGUCUGUUAGUCGGGACGAAAGGCCUUCUUGCGAAUAGGGAGAGGGAUUGACGGUACCGGAAGAAAAAGCCACGGCUAACUACGUG